Molecule: ribosomal RNA, 253 nt
Filed under: uncultured bacterium
Lineage: Bacteria
Description: partial 16S ribosomal RNA
Rfam family: Bacterial small subunit ribosomal RNA
Source: RNAcentral
UACGUAGGGCGCAAGCGUUAUCCGGGAUUAUUGGGCGUAAAGAGCUCGUAGGCGGUUUGUCGCGUCUGCCGUGAAAGUCCGGGGCUCAACUCCGGAUCUGCGGUGGGUACGGGCAGACUAGAGUGAUGUAGGGGAGACUGGAAUUCCUGGUGUAGCGGUGGAAUGCGUAGAGAUCCGGAAGAACACCGGUGGCGAAGGCGGUUAGCUGGGCAGUUGCUGACACUGAGGCGCGACAGCGUGGGGAGCAAACAGG